RNAcentral lists this long non-coding RNA (2164 nucleotides) under Ananas comosus (pineapple). Its description in RNAcentral is "long non-coding RNA (ACOM_LNC013987)". The record is from RNAcentral. Lineage: Eukaryota; Viridiplantae; Streptophyta; Magnoliopsida; Poales; Bromeliaceae.
AACUGUUACCGACCGUCUCUAGUGCAAGUAAAAAAAGACUUGGUGGUUGAUAUUCGAGAUCCUAAGUUCGAAUACUAAUUUAUUCGUAUUUCCAGCUAAGUUUACUUUUAAAGAAAAUAAACAAAACGAGUGGCAUGCUAUUUUUCUCUCUAAAAAAUAUAUAUAUAUAUAUAUUUGCAACUGUUGCAUGUGUUACGCUUUUAACGUCACCGCCACUGUCGUUGCCCUAUUUUAGAGCCAAAUUUACUCUUUAGGCCGGAAAAAAUACAUUUGGUUGAAUAGGAGAAAAUAAGUCCGGCUAUUAUAUAUUUAUAAGUAUGAUCGUUUUCGAACUCAUAAGUCAUUUUCGAUUAUAAAGAUUUUGAAUCGAUGAUUCACACUGUUAAAUAUAAUUUAGAACUUUUAAAAUUUUUAAAAAUUAAAUUUCACAAUUUUACAUCAUUUACCGUAAGAUCAAAAAAUUUUAAAAUUGACAAUUUUUAACGGCCAAUAUGAAAAAUUUGCUAAUUUAACAGUAUAAAAGAAUCCAAAUUGAAUAAAUUUUUGGAUAAAUUGCAUUGUUACCCCCUGAACUUUUGACGAAAUUUUACAUUACCCUUCGAACUUUUAAAAUGGACAUCUAAUACCCUAAACUCUAAUAUUUCAUUCAUGUUACCCCUUCCGUCAGUUUCCGUCAAGCUCCGUUAACUGAAAACUGACGGAAUGGAUAAAACGAAUAAAAUAUUAGAGUUUAGGAUGUUAGAUGUCUAUUUUAAGAGUUUUGGGGUUAAAUAAAAUUUGAAAUUUAAAAUUUAGAAUUUAAAAUUCAAAUUUUAAAUUUUAAUAUUCAAAAUUUUAAAUUAAAUUUUUAAAAUGACAUAUUGAAAGGAUUUCGAAAGUUAGAGAGGUAAAAUUAUCAUUUUACAUAAUAUGUAGUAUUUUCGGUUUUUAGUAACGCAAGAUACACAACUCCCCUCUCGUUAAUAUUUUCGGUGUAGUCCUACUCGAUUUGUAAUGCUACAUUAACCACUAAAUUACAUAGCGGAUGAACCAAACACAGUAAUCCUGACAGGAUUGCCUGUAAUUAAUCCUGACAAGAUAACUCGAACCAAACGGGCCCUAAGUAACAUAUUAUAAUAAAAUAAUUAUAGUCAAGAGUCCUACGGGGUAAAUUGCAUUGCUACCUCCUGAACUUUUGGCGAGUUUCACUUAAUCCCCCAAACUCCUAAAAUAGACAUCUAACACCCUAAACUCUAAUAUUUCAUUCGUUUUACCCCUUCCGUCAGUUUCCGGUUAACGGAGCUUGACGGAAAACUGACGGAAGGGGUAACAUGAACGAAAUAUUAGAGUUUAAAGUGUUAGAUGUCCAUUUUAGGAGUUCGAGAGGUAAAGUGAAACUUCGCCAAAAGUUCAGGGGGUAACAAUGCAAUUUACCCAUAAAUUUUUUAUAGAAAAUUAUAUUCACUAAUUAAAUAAAGAUCAAUAAUUUUGAUCUUAAAUUGAAAAAUUCGAUCAUUUAUUUUUAGGAGAUCAUUCAAUUUUGACCGUUCAUUUUAUGUCCGUUUGAUGAACUUUAAUAUAAUUUCAAAAAAUUAUGAAAUUUAUAUUUAGAAGUUUCAAAUGCUCUAUAGAUCAUAUUUAACGGUGUGAAUUAUCAAUUUAGAAGUUUCAUCAUAAAAAACAACAUAUGAGUGCAAAAAGUUCUAUACUCAUAAGAAUAUAGUUGUCCUACUCGUAGAAAAAUAUAUUUGAAAUGGAAAAAUAGAUUUUAUAGAAAUACAACUGUUCAUAAUUGUUAACUAAGGCUUAGUUUGGUAUUGAGGGAUAAAAUGGAGUUAGGAAAAAAAGUACAUAGGAAUAUACUUCUACAUUCUCCAGUGGGACCGCAGAAAAUAUAUCAUAACUAGCUCAUCACAAUUUGCGGAACGUAAUAUUAUGUACGGAAACAAAUAAGAUAUUUUUUCAUCGUAAUUACUACAUUCUCACCGCACGUAAUACAAUCUCCCCGCAAUUCCAAACGAAGCCUAACAAAAUAUAACUUUAGAGGUAUAUUUGAAAGAUAUUGGAGCAUUAAAAAUAUAUUUUUUAUAUUAGUUUUCAAAAAAUAAUAAAUAAGAAAGUCUGAAAUUUUUCAGAGAUGGACAAGUAGUAGUCCCUAAAAAAAAAAAAAAAAAAAAAAAAAAAA